CACCUUCUACCCCGCAUAAAAUUAUACAUAGAUUUCCUCAUAAGUUAUGUGAGUAUUAGCUAUGUAGAAUUACAAAAAUGCAACCAAACACCACAUAAAUCAAUACAUGAAUAAUUUUUAUACAACAUUUGGAGACACACCAACCAAACAUUGUAUAAAAUUUAUACAUGAAUAAUUUUGAUUCUAUUUACAAACCAAACAUGGUAUAAAAUUAAUACAUGAAUAACUAAGUUAUUCGUGUAUUAACUUUG
RNAcentral lists this long non-coding RNA (251 nucleotides) under Solanum tuberosum (potato). RNAcentral describes it as "long non-coding RNA (STUB_LNC008846)". Lineage: Eukaryota; Viridiplantae; Streptophyta; Magnoliopsida; Solanales; Solanaceae. The record is from RNAcentral.